AGAAAUAGUCCAAUUACUCAAUUAGCCUCAAUUGCACCGGAAAAGAAGGAUGGGGUGGUUGAGCUCUUACGCCGGUGCAGUCGCACUAGCUCUUGCUCCCACAAUCGCUCCUUCUUUUCACUCCACACACACUCUUUUCUUCCAACAAUUCCCAAACCCUCUCUUCAAAUGCCACACCUUUUCAACUCUCUCUCUUACUUAUCGCAAGCUGUUGCUGGCUCCUCCGUGCCACGCGCUACGCGCUGCUGCACAACCGUCAAGGGAUGAUUAUGAUGAUUCUGAUUUCGUGGUUGUCAAUUUCUACCAUUUUGUGUUUAUCAAAGAUCCUCAAGCUGAGGUCACUAAACACCUUUCGUUCUUGGAGGGUCUCAAUCUUGACAUCAAUGGAAGAGUUUAUUUGAAUGAACAAGGGAUUAAUGCGCAGUUUAGUGGACCAUCAAAAGAUGCACUGAAAUAUGUCAACUGGUUGAGAGAGGAUAAGAGGUUUUCAGAUAUCCUGGUUCAGAUAUCUCCAUCACAAAAUGGACAUGCCUUUCCAAAAUUGAAGUUGCGGUAUAAGCCCUCAUUAGUACAGGUUGAAGGUGGCGUAUCACAUCUUCCAUUGCUUGAUCCUUCAAUGCGGGCAAUACCUUUAGAACCUUCAGAAUGGAGAAAUAGAUUGGAACCAACCAAUAAAAAUGAUCUUACAUCAAAAGAAUAUCUAAAGAGGAAUUACAUUCUAUUGGAUGUAAGAAAUGGUUAUGAGUGGGAUAUUGGACAUUUUAAUGGGGCCCAACGACCUAAUGUGGACUGCUUUAGGAGUACUUCAUUUGGUAUGUCUCAACAAGAGAUCUCUGCAUCAGAUCCUUUAUCAAAUGUAGAUAAAGAAAACACAAACAUAUUGAUGUAUUGCACUGGAGGGAUUCGCUGUGAUGUAUAUUCUACAAUACUAAGGCAGCAAGGAUUUCAGAAUUUGUAUACCUUGAAAGGAGGUGUUUCUCACUAUUUAAAGAAUGAAGGUCCUGCAAAAUGGGUAGGAAACUUAUUUGUAUUUGACUCUCGUCUCUCUCUCCCUCCGUCUGUGUACUAUCCCCAGGCCACAACUGAAGCAGACAUGACCCAAAUUUCUGGAGUUGAUAAGUUUGCAAAAUGCUACCUAUGUAGUUCAGAAGUCAGCGAAUUGAGACACAGGAAUUGUGCAAAUCUUGACUGUAAUUUGCUGUUUUUAUGCUGCAGUCAAUGUGUAAAGGACCUAAGGGGAUGUUGUUGUUUGAGUUGCACUACUGCCCCGCGGCUUAGACCUGUUCUAAUCGGAGAUUCGAGAUACAAAAAGUGGCACAUUUAUCGCGAUAUGGAUUUGCAACACAGCAUGAAAAUUUCAGCUUGAAUAGACAUUUUUUUUAUUAACCACAGCAGCAUGCCAUCAUAUAAUUUCAUAAGGCCAGUUAUCUGGAUUAUAACUGUUUAUGAAGCGUGCAGUGAAAAGCCAUACUGCAGUAAGCUAAUGUUGUAACAUUAUUGAAAUUUAACCAUGUAAGUAUUCAACGGAAUUUUGUUCAUGUAAACGUGCUCUAUUUUUGCUCAAUCAAGUUAGUCUUUACAAAGUUUCCAA
Non-coding RNA from Arachis ipaensis, 1591 nucleotides. Lineage: Eukaryota; Viridiplantae; Streptophyta; Magnoliopsida; Fabales; Fabaceae. The record is from RefSeq and is a predicted model, not a curated record.